Molecule: small nucleolar RNA, 83 nt
Filed under: Exophiala oligosperma
Lineage: Eukaryota; Fungi; Ascomycota; Eurotiomycetes; Chaetothyriales; Herpotrichiellaceae
Also listed under: 1 other name
Description: Small nucleolar RNA R38
Rfam family: Small nucleolar RNA R38
About the family: snoR38 is a C/D box small nucleolar RNA conserved across yeast, human, Arabidopsis and rice.
Source: Rfam by way of RNAcentral
UUGCUACAAGAUGAGACGUAUUAUCACAAACAGUUAUCCCUGUCUGAACUUUCUUGUUGACUUUAUUUCACUCUGAUUCGCAA